GCUGGGUGUGGUGGCGCGUGCCUGUAAUCACAGGGGCUCCGGAGGCUGAGGCAGGAGGAUCUUGAGGGCAAAGCCAGCCUCAGCAACUUAGUGAGGCCCUAAGCAACUCAGCAAGACCCUGUCUCUA
This 127-nucleotide small RNA is filed under the name Marmota monax (woodchuck). The record is from RNAcentral. Lineage: Eukaryota; Metazoa; Chordata; Mammalia; Rodentia; Sciuridae.